CGGGGCGUGGCUCAAUGGCUAGAGCGCUCGCUUGGGGUGCGAGAGACUGUGGGUUCAAUUCCCACCGCCCCGA
Molecule: transfer RNA, 73 nt
Filed under: Elusimicrobia bacterium CG08_land_8_20_14_0_20_51_18
Lineage: Bacteria; Pseudomonadati; Elusimicrobiota
Description: tRNA-Pro
Rfam family: tRNA
About the family: Transfer RNA (tRNA) molecules are approximately 80 nucleotides in length. Their secondary structure includes four short double-helical elements and three loops (D, anti-codon, and T loops). Further hydrogen bonds mediate the characteristic L-shaped molecular structure. tRNAs have two regions of fundamental functional importance: the anti-codon, which is responsible for specific mRNA codon recognition, and the 3' end, to which the tRNAs corresponding amino acid is attached (by aminoacyl-tRNA synthetases). tRNAs cope with the degeneracy of the genetic code in two manners: having more than one tRNA (with a specific anti-codon) for a particular amino acid; and 'wobble' base-pairing, i.e. permitting non-standard base-pairing at the 3rd anti-codon position.
Source: RNAcentral